CAUACCAUAUGUCAGAAUAAUCAUACAGUUUCACUGUAGAUAGUUUUUUUGUUACAACGAGUCAGCGAUACACUGAAGUGUAUCAGAUUUCAAUGUACAGUUUCAUUUAUAAACCUGUUGCUGGGAGUAUAAAAUAUGUAUACAUGUUUAAAGGUCAAAUCGUUUAAGCUAGCAAAUAUGCGCGUUUUGAGAGAGAUUUUACAUCAGUUAGGAGAGACACGCUGAUAGUGUGUAGCGGUUAUUUUUUAUUGGGAAGAGAAUUUUGUAGUUUUGAAGAGAAUUUUGUUGUUUUGAAGUCAGUUUUGUUGGUUUGUUGAAGUGGUUGAAUAUAAUUGUGGUGAUCUUAAUUGAUCAGGGUUUAUUGGUUGUAAUUAGUUGUUUUGGUUGUUGAGUUAUUUCUAUUUGUGAAGAUAUAAUUGGUUGAUAUUGGUUGAAUGUUUGGUAUUGUCAAGAUUAUAUUAGUUGCUGCUUUGUUUUGAGGAUAUAUGUAAAUAUUGGUUGCUUUAGUUUAAGUUGUUUUCUGAUGCUGAUUAGAUUGUGUGAAGUUAAUAUUGUUGGAUGAAUGUUUGCGGUUUAUACUGUAUCUUAGAGUUGUAAAAAUAUUCAUUUUUGUGUUCUUCAUUUUGUGGUGAUUUUAUUGUUUUGUUAAUCAUAAGUUGUUUAGAGCUUGGGCUCGCCAGGUGUCUUGUUUUGUUUCGUAUAAAAGACGUAUACGUGGAAAGAUAUUUCGUAUAAGUGGCUGAUAAAUGAUGUUUGUUUGUUUUGGGUGUAAAUAAUGAUCACAGUUCUGUGUUUUGGGUGUAAAUAAUAGUCAGAGUUUGUUGUUUACAUGUAUAUAUUGAUUUGAGAUAGAAAAAGAUAAAAAUACCUAAAAAAGAUAGUGUUAACUAAACAAUUACAUGCUAGUUUUCCAACUGAGAAUAUUUCACUUUUAUGUCAGGCGGUGCUGCCCAGCCUCCAUAUCUUGGAAAUUGGUUCAAGUAUUUAUUACUAAAUCUUUUCUUAGAUUAAAUAACAUCAAGGCAGACAUUUCUCCUGACACCCAAUUGCAAAUUCUGCCGAAAAAGCAAACUACUGUUCUACCCGCAACCCGCUGUUCUACUCGUAACUGGUUAACGGGUGUGUUAUUACGGGUAAAUAAUCAGUAUGAUCGAUACGUUAUAAAUAGAGAGCGUAAUGUAACAUUGUGAAACAUACACACAUGGAUGACAAGUUUUUAUUUACAUUUUUGUUGUUUGUGGGAUUUACAAGUACAUUCGGGUCAUACUGCCGCCAAUAUGAAUCACAGAUGGAUGAAGAUGCAUUUUGGUGUGAAAGAGGCUGUUGUGGAACCUUUGGGACCAAGUACUGUUGUGACGUUGACGGCAUCAGGAAAAUCUUCUUUCUUUCUUUUUACUAAAAACAUAUGUAUAUGAUAAAAUGUUUUGCUGUGAUUAGAUGUUACAGAAGUCUAGUUAGAAAUUUUAUUACACAUAACCUUUUUGUUGUGGUUCUAGAAAACGCUAUUUCUGAAAUGUUUUAAUUAUGCCAGUAAUGUAAUAUCUUCAAAAUGGGAUCUGAUUGCAAUCGGAAGAUAUUUGAAAAUGGAAUAUAUAAAUUAUAAUUAUUUUAUUAUUAUACAUAAUUAUAUAAUUAAUACUAUAACACGUUUGUAACGUCGCUUUUCAUUGGAUAAUCGUGGCUCGGUUAUAUAUUUCCAAACAACCGUUAAUAUAUAACCUGUCUAAAAUCUAUAUUAAGGAAAAAAGACAUACGAGACGGUUUUACGUAACAAAAUUAUUUGUUUCAUUUUUUUAAGGGAAGGAGUUAUUGCUGCCAUUGUUAUAAGCUUGGUUAUUUUAGCCGUCAUUGUUGCAUCUAUAGUGGUGGCCUGGUGCUGCUGUUGUCGGAAAACAAGAGGACAGAUUGGACGGGUGUGCCAACCGGCUACAGCUCAAACAGCUACAAUUCAAAUGCACAGUUCGCUGCCAUACGGUCAGAUUGGCCGUAACGGUACCGAUAACACUCCUGUUACACUAAUGACGUCGAAUGUGACGCCAGGAACAACGCAACAGUGGCAACAACUUGUACCUCCGCAAAAGUACGAGGGCUUGGCUCAAAAACAAUAAGAAAAAGAUAUGUGUGAUUAAUGUAAAUAUAUGUAUCUAACAGUGUUCAUGAAAUUUCUAAAUUCGGUAGCGGGAUAUUUUUUUAAGAUUUCCUUUUGUAAAUGUUAAUAUUGUGAAUAACUAAAUGCGGUCUUACUAUGAAAUAAGUACGUCACAUGUAUACUCUGAUAAAUAACGUGAAACAAAGGGGAAAAGAAAAACUUUAAAAAAUGGUGAAAAGAAAACUUAAAAAACAACAACAACAAAAACAUUUGUUGAUUCAAAGGGAGGAAAGAAGGUGUUUGGUUCGUUUUCAAAUGAACAGUAUAUUAACAAAAUUGAUGCAAUACACUAUUUUUGCAACAACUAAACCAACAAAACAUGGCGGUUUUAUUCUUGCUCAUGUCUCUUUAUACAAUAUCAUUAUAUACUGUGUGUUGUUUAACAAAUUAAUUUGUUUUGACUAUUAAUGUUGAUUAAACUUUUUAAAUCAGAAAAUUGUUGAACCCCUUUUUAGUAUUUUGAAACCACGAGAAGCCGGCUUUUAGGACAAGAAAGAAAAAGAAUGUAGUUUGUAGAAUUAUGAUGCCAGAAGUAGGACCUGGUGACUUUUAUAUGUUAAGCCGUUGCAUUUUUUUCACAACUUAACAGUUUUAAAUGAUAGAAAGGAGACGUGUUGAUUUUUUUUUUCAAAAGAAAGUUACAUCUUACUUUAUAAUAAACAAAAAUGUCCGUUUUCUUCAAGUACCUUUUGAAAAGACAUAAAACGUUAUUGUAUAUAUUUUUCGAUAAAAACUUUGGCAAAAUGAGUUAUUUUUCUAAUAAAAAAUCAUUAUAAUUUAUAAGUAAAUACCCAUAAAGAUAAUAACAUGCAGAUUAUGACAUGUCUAAAUAUAGAUAAGCAUAAUUCAAACUUGAACAGAAAAGCAAACAAACUGGCAAACAUGGUGGACAAGAUUUUAAUUACGUUUAUUUUGUUUUCCGGAUUUUCAGGUACAUUAUCGACAUCAACAAACCCGUUUGGUGAUGGUUAUCUUUAUUUUAUCAUAGGCGUAGUAGUUUUUGGCGUCAUAAUUGUGGCAGUAGUAGUGGCGGUCAUCUGUUACUGUUGCUGUUGCCGAAAACCAGGCGGAUACGCCGGCCAGGUCUUCCAACCGGCUGCAUUCCAGACAGCUACAAUUCAAUAUCACAGUCCGCUGCCAUACGGUCAGGUUGGCUAUAACGGUACCGUCAACAUGCCGGAUACAAUUUUGACGUCAAACAUGACGCAAGGAACAACACAACAAUGGCAACAAUCGGCGGAUCCACCAAACUACGAACAAGUUGUUGAAAAACAAUGAAAAAGAGGUGAUGAAAGAAGUAUGAACUUCAUCUGAUAGUGAUUUAUGUUAGAAUUUCCCAUAUCGAACUAUAUUUUUGCUCGGAUUUACUUUUUGUUUUGUUUGUUUAUGUUUUGUGUUACUUGAUAAGUUGUCACUAUCAAUUAAAUAAGUUUCAUUAUGAUAAUUGAAGCAAAGACAAUUAUGUUAUACGAUUUAAAACCAAAUGCAUGGUAAAAUGAAAAAUAAGAGAUAACAUGGUUUGUUUUAAUACAGAAUCAAAAAAAAAGUGAA
This is an RNA transcript of Ruditapes philippinarum (Manila clam), 3700 nucleotides long. RefSeq lists it as uncharacterized. NCBI's taxonomy places the organism in Eukaryota, Metazoa, Mollusca, Bivalvia, Venerida, Veneridae. The transcript has 6 exons. The record is from RefSeq and is a predicted model, not a curated record.